This is a long non-coding RNA of Haliotis rubra (blacklip abalone), 376 nucleotides long. RefSeq lists it as uncharacterized. The transcript has 3 exons. The record is from RefSeq and is a predicted model, not a curated record. Lineage: Eukaryota; Metazoa; Mollusca; Gastropoda; Lepetellida; Haliotidae.
CGCACCCGCCAACUCUACAAAUGUUUCUACCGCCGUUUCCAGAACAGUGAAUGUCCUUCACAACUCUUCCGCCUUAUCUAAUUAUUCUGCCUUGGCUAAUGGGACCAUGCAUUUAAUUGCAAUCACACCGGCAGAAGAAUUCUGGACGCUAAAGGUCUUACAGAUUAGCGACGGUCUGGAACAUCUCGGUAGUAUGAGGUGGCCUCUGGUUGGUUGUCUUGCUAUCACCUACAUCGUAGUGUUCUUUUGUCUCUUUCGGGGGAUCAAGGUGUCAGGAAAGGUGGUGUACGUCACAGUUUGUGCUCCUUACAUCCUCAUCACUAUAUUCCUCAUCCGGGGCUGUCUACUUCCGGGUUCGGCUGAUGGAAUAUAUUAC